CAACUCUGCCGAACGGCCGCGCGGCAUGGUGCCGAAAGGUAUUGCCGUGAGGAAAGUCCGGGCUUCACAGGGCAGGAUAGCUGAUAACGUCAGCCGCAGGUGACUGCCGGGAAAGUGCAACAGAAAUAAACCGCCGGGCCCUGCCCGGUAAGGGUGGAAAGGUGAGGUAAGAGCUCACCCGUUCCUAUGGUAACAUAGGUCCGCUGUAAACCCUAUCCGAAGCAACACCGCAUGGGGAUUUUGGCUGGCCCGGCCCAUGUCCCCGGGUGGCACGGGAGAAAUCCCGGAGCGCAGUGGCGACACUGCGCACAGACAGAUGGCCGUUUUCAACAGAACCCGGCUUACAGGCAGAGUUGUGGU
This 360-nucleotide RNase P RNA is filed under the name Clostridiales bacterium. Its description in RNAcentral is "RNase P RNA component class A". It matches the Rfam family "Bacterial RNase P class A". From Rfam's summary of the family: Ribonuclease P (RNase P) is a ubiquitous endoribonuclease, found in archaea, bacteria and eukarya as well as chloroplasts and mitochondria. Its best characterised activity is the generation of mature 5'-ends of tRNAs by cleaving the 5'-leader elements of precursor-tRNAs. Cellular RNase Ps are ribonucleoproteins. RNAcentral also lists the same sequence under 1 other name. Lineage: Bacteria; Bacillati; Bacillota; Clostridia; Eubacteriales. The record is from RNAcentral.